RNAcentral lists this ribosomal RNA (849 nucleotides) under uncultured bacterium. RNAcentral's name for it is "bacterial SSU rRNA". It matches the Rfam family "Bacterial small subunit ribosomal RNA", at positions 58 to 916 of the family's 1533-position model. The record is from RNAcentral.
CAAGUUGAACGGUUCAGCCCAAGCAGCAAUGUGAGGGUUGGAUAGUAGCGGACGGGUGAGUAACGCGUGAGCAACCUACCUUUGUGAGGGGGACGACAGCUGGAAACGGCUGCUAAUACCGCAUAAGGCCACGGCCCCGAUUGGGGCUGAGGUAAAAGAUUUAUCGCACAAAGAUGGGCUCGCGUCCCAUUAGCUAGUUGGUGAGGUAACGGCCCACCAAGGCUUCGAUGGGUAGCCGACCUGAGAGGGUGAUCGGCCACACUGGAACUGAGACACGGUCCAGACUCCUACGGGAGGCAGCAGUGGGGAAUAUUGGGCAAUGGGCGCAAGCCUGACCCAGCAACGCCGCGUGAGGGAAGAAUGUCUUCGGAUUGUAAACCUCUGUCCUUGGGGACGAAAAAAAUGACGGUACCCGAGGAGGAAGCUCCGGCUAACUACGUGCCAGCAGCCGCGGUAAUACGUAGGGAGCGAGCGUUGUCCGGAAUUACUGGGCGUAAAGGGUGCGUAGGCGGCAAUGCAAGUCAGAUGUGAAAUCCCCGGGCUUAACUCGGGGGGUGCAUUUGAAACUGCGUUGCUUGAGUGCAGGAGAGGAAAGCGGAAUUCCUAGUGUAGCGGUGAAAUGCGUAGAUAUUAGGAGGAACACCAGUGGCGAAGGCGGCUUUCUGGACUGUAACUGACGCUGAGGCACGAAAGCGUGGGGAGCAAACAGGAUUAGAUACCCUGGUAGUCCACGCUGUAAACGAUGGAUACUAGGUGUGGGGGAGAUACAACCUCCGUGCCGCAGCAAACGCAAUAAGUAUCCCGCCUGGGGAGUACGGCCGCAAGGCUGAAACUCAAAGGAAUUGACGG